RNAcentral lists this ribosomal RNA (253 nucleotides) under uncultured bacterium. Its description in RNAcentral is "partial 16S ribosomal RNA". It matches the Rfam family "Bacterial small subunit ribosomal RNA", at positions 524 to 776 of the family's 1533-position model. The record is from RNAcentral.
CACGUAGGGUGCGAGCGUUGUCCGGAAUUAUUGGGCGUAAAGAGCUCGUAGGCGGUUCGUCGCGUCGGCUGUGAAAUCCCGAGGCUCAACCUCGGGUCUGCAGUCGAUACGGGCGGACUGGAGUUCGGCAGGGGAGACUGGAAUUCCUGGUGUAGCGGUGAAAUGCGCAGAUAUCAGGAGGAACACCGGUGGCGAAGGCGGGUCUCUGGGCCGAUACUGACGCUGAGGAGCGAAAGCGUGGGGAGCGAACAGG